GAUGAACGCUAGCUACAGGCUUAACACAUGCAAGUCGAGGGGAAACGGCAUUUAGUGCUUGCACUGAAUGGACGUCGACCGGCGCACGGGUGAGUAACGCGUAUCCAACCUACCCAUUACUGUGGGAUAACCUGCCGAAAGGCAGACUAAUACCGCAUAGUCUUCGAUGACGGCAUCAGAUUUGAAGUAAAGAUUUAUCGGUAAUGGAUGGGGAUGCGUCUGAUUAGCUUGUUGGCGGGGUAACGGCCCACCAAGGCAACGAUCAGUAGGGGUUCUGAGAGGAAGGUCCCCCACAUUGGAACUGAGACACGGUCCAAACUCCUACGGGAGGCAGCAGUGAGGAAUAUUGGUCAAUGGGCGAGAGCCUGAACCAGCCAAGUAGCGUGCAGGAUGACGGCCCUAUGGGUUGUAAACUGCUUUUGUAUGGGGAUAAAGUCAAUCACGUGUGAUUGUUUGCAGGUACCAUACGAAUAAGGACCGGCUAAUUCCGUGCCAGCAGCCGCGGUAAUACGGAAGGUCCGGGCGUUAUCCGGAUUUAUUGGGUUUAAAGGGAGCGUAGGCUGGAGAUUAAGUGUGUUGUGAAAUGUAGACGCUCAACGUCUGACUUGCAGCGCAUACUGGUUUCCUUGAGUACGCACAACGUUGGCGGAAUUCGUCGUGUAGCGGUGAAAUGCUUAGAUAUGACGAAGAACUCCGAUUGCGAAGGCAGCUGACGGGAGCGCAACUGACGCUUAAGCUCGAAGGUGCGGGUAUCGAACAGG
This 761-nucleotide ribosomal RNA is filed under the name Prevotella melaninogenica. RNAcentral's name for it is "bacterial SSU rRNA". It matches the Rfam family "Bacterial small subunit ribosomal RNA", at positions 28 to 776 of the family's 1533-position model. Lineage: Bacteria; Pseudomonadati; Bacteroidota; Bacteroidia; Bacteroidales; Prevotellaceae. The record is from RNAcentral.